GAUGAAGAACGUAGCGAAAUGCGAUAAGUAAUGCGAAUUGCAGAAUUUCCGUGAGUCAUCGAAUCUUUGAACGCACAUUGCGCCCGCCAGCACUCUGGCGGGCAUGCCUGUUCGAGCGUCAUUUCAACCAUCAAGCCCUGCUUGCGUUGGGGUCCUGCGGCUGCCCGCAGGCCCUGAAAACCAGUGGCGGGCUCGCUAGUCACACCGAGCGCAGUAAUACAUCUCGCUUUGGGCGUGCGGCGGGUUCUUGCCGUUAAACACCCCCUUUUUACCAAGGUUGACCUCGGAUCAGGUAGGAAUACCCGCUGAACUUAAGCAUAUCAAUAAGCGGAGGA
This 335-nucleotide unclassified non-coding RNA is filed under the name soil metagenome. RNAcentral describes it as "partial contains 5.8S ribosomal RNA, internal transcribed spacer 2, and large subunit ribosomal RNA". The stretch from base 1 to 121 matches the Rfam family "5.8S ribosomal RNA", at positions 35 to 154 of the family's 154-position model. The record is from RNAcentral.